This 63-nucleotide transfer RNA is filed under the name Chorthippus qingzangensis. RNAcentral's name for it is "tRNA-Asp". Lineage: Eukaryota; Metazoa; Arthropoda; Insecta; Orthoptera; Acrididae. The record is from RNAcentral.
GGAGUUAGUUAAAAUAUAACAUUAGAGUGUCAAUCUAAAAUAACUAAUAACUAGUACACCUUG